This is an RNA transcript of Aquila chrysaetos chrysaetos, 8666 nucleotides long. It is a transcript of the gene named RNA binding fox-1 homolog 3, with no coding region annotated. The record is from RefSeq and is a predicted model, not a curated record. The transcript is spliced from 2 exons. NCBI's taxonomy places the organism in Eukaryota, Metazoa, Chordata, Aves, Accipitriformes, Accipitridae.
ACCGCCGGCAAGGGUGGGCAUUUCCCCUCCCUCUCUGCCGCGGUUGUGCUCGGGGUCGGGGUCUUUUCUCGCCGUUGUUGCUUCCCGGCUGAGCUGCUGGCCAGGAGAGCUUUCCUCCUCCGGCCAGGCGCUCGCUGCCCUGCAGCUUGCAGGUUGCGAUGCUGGAGGCAGGCCUGGCAUCGGGGAGGAACGGGGCAGCGGCAGAGGCAGACAGGGGUCCCUGCCUGGGCGCUGCGGCCUCAUCCCUGCCUGAGGGCACCCCCCAACCACCGUCCUGCCUCCCCUCCGCUCCCUCCGAGCUCCACGCGGUGCUGGCCGCAGGCAGCAGCCCCCUCGCCUGCCCAGGGUGGCCGGAGGCUGCGCAGAAACACCCCCCUGCCCCCGUCCCCUCUCGGCUGUGCUGGGUUGGUGAGUGGUGGGCUCCGGACCCUGCGCUGGGGAGCUGUGCUAGGAGGGGCUGCGGGUCUGUGGUGGCAGCGAGGCGUUCAGGUGAUGGGUCUGUGCAGAGCAGCAGCCAGCCUCUCUCGCCUGGGGGGUCUGUUCCGCAUGGGUGCCCACCCAGGGCAGCCCCCACACUUGUAUCCCAAGCUUGAAGUUGGUGGCCAAGGCUUUUGAGAUCCCCGUGGGGACCCCGAGGUCCCUCUGUGGCACCGCAGUCCCUGUUCAGGCGGUUUGGAGCCUGCAGGGCCGCACGGUUCUGUCUGCUUGUCCCCCGCUGAGCCCGGAGCCGGGGGCACGGCCGGGCAGGAGCGCUGGGCUCUGCGGGGGCUCAGCCUCUCCCUGCACUAGCAGACCUGUCAAGCCAUGCAGGGCGAUGGCUGGCGGGGGACCGGCCGAGACCCCCCCGGCCAUCCCAAGGGCUUUGAGCAGGAACAAACAGGGAGGAGGGGGAUCUGAUGGGGUCUGUCCAGGCACUUUGCUCGGGGAUGGGAUGCUGAAUGCAUGUGCAAGCUUGUCUCAUGGUGUGGCUGGAACAGCGAGCAGAGGGGAAGGGGACGGAGGCCAGCAGCCUCCCGCAGGGCUGCUCGUCCUCCCCAAAGCUGUAGGAGCUGGGCUAAGCAUCAGGCUCUGCACCGUCCCGGGGGGCUCCCCAUGGCAUCCCAGCCCACGAACUGGAGCUUAAGCCAGUGGCACCAGCUCCUUCCACCCCCUCCCUCCUGCUCCAGCUCCCCCAGAGCUGACGGGGGGCCGGGGGGCUGCAGCAUCCCCUGGGGGAUUACACGCACCGGGGAGCUGCGCUCCCCUGGAUUUUGGAGCAAGCAGCGCAGCGGAUAGAGCUGGGUGAAGGGGGAUGUGGGGAAAGGAGCUUAGGAGGAGGAGGAGGAUAAUGCGAAUUCAUUGUUUCUCAGGGAAGCAGCUUUCAGGCGUAAGGUGCUUUGUCAUGAGAGAUCUCGGUGCAGCCGCCGAUCCCCUCCGGUCAGGAGGCCGUCGUGGCUUGCAGAGCCUUCUCCUGGUAGGGCGUUAAUUCUGCCCAGGGACUUAAUGAGCUGCCAUGGCUGUGAAAGCAAACUGCUCCGGAGUUUCCACUUGCAGCUCCGUAGCUGCUGCGUGGCUUCAUGGAGCUCCAGCCGGUGCAGGGCGCAGGGCAGCAGUGCCGGGGUGCCCGUCCCUGGAGGAGCUCCACACACAGCUCCCCCAGUGCGUUUGCUGGCUGUGGCAGUGGGCAGGGCAGUGCCGCUCGAGGGUCUCCCUUCCCCGUCCCACGCGGUGCACAUAGCCAGCAAGCCCGGGACGGCCAGCUCUUGGCAUGCCAGGAGAGAGGGCAGGCGAGGGCUUUGCUCCCGGCAGAGCGGCUGAGCAUCAUUUCUUGGCAUCACGGGCGUCUCUCCGUCGCGAGCGUGGGAGGAAGCGGAGGGGUUUGGUUUCCCUGCGUGGCGGGAGCGCGGCCACCGUCGGGAGCGCUGCGGGGAGCGCUGCGGUGGCAGGCGGCAGCGGGUGGCUCAGUAAUCGACACUGCAACAGGCUGAGAUGCCAAAGCAAAAUGUCUUCAAAUUAGCAGUAAUUGCAGGCGAAAUAAAGAGCAUGUGGGGCGAGUGGAAGGAGGGUUCUAUAAAUAUUAUGAUUUUUAAAGUUUGCCCUGGAGUCCUAGAGCCUGUUUAAACGCUAAUAUCCUGUCUGUGCAUUUAAAAAGCCUUAUAAUGAGGAUUGAGUGUCUGCUUCCAGAGCACCUCCUGCCUGGUGCUCCCCUUCUGCCCACGUCACCUGUCUGCCGCUCCUGGUGGCAUCCCGGCCCAGGCUGCCCUGUGCCCAGCACCAGUGGUGCCACGCAUGCCCCUGCUCUCGCCCCUGCUCAGGGAUGUGCUAACCCCCCUGGGCAGCCUUGACCAUCCCAUCCUGCCCCUUGCACUGGCACCCCAUGGGCUUCUGCCGAAGCCUCCCACUGCAGCCUGCAAGGCUGGUGUGCAGCGUUGCACCAGCUCGGGGGGGUGCAUUUUCUUAGGAACUGCCCGUUGGGCAGCAGGUCUGGUCUCAGGGAAGGGGAGGCUCUGGGAAUGCAGCAUUUUGGGUCCCCGGGUCUGCAGGUGCUCAUUCCUUCCAUCGCCCUCCAUCAUUUGUGCAUCACCCUCCAUCCUGCGCCAGGCCCUGUGGUGGCCGUGGCUCCGGCCCCAGCAGCACCGGUGCGGCACACCCUGCUGAGUGUGGUGCAGCCGUUUUACCUGCUGCGGCCCUGCCAGCGCUGCCCACCCGGCCUGCGAGCUCGAGGUGCUCGACAGCAUCUGUUCUGCCACGGUUCUGCUGCCUGCACGUUAAUUCUCAUUAAAUCUAGGGAGCCUAAUUGCCAUUUCAUGUAAAUAUUUUGUCAAGCGAAAGGGCUUUAGGAAGGGCCGCGCUGACUGAAGGCAAGAAGCCAGGGUCUCUCGCCGCUGCAGUGACAAGCUCCUGUUUGUCCUGCCCAACCACAGGUGUAAAACGUGUCCCCGCGGGAGCUGCCGCAUGUCCCGCCGUGAGCCCAGAGCUUGGAUGUGGCCGGCUGCUGGGAGGUCCCUGUGCACCGUUUGCUUGUGCUGGAUAACGGGGGAACACCGGCUUCCCUGCUCACACAUCUUGCAGGAUGCGGGCUCCGCUUUGUGGAGAGCACUGAGGGUCCCGAGGCAAUUCCCGUGUUGGCUGAAGGGCAGAGGAGGGAUGGCACAAGGGGAAGCAGGACAUCCCCGGGUGCUGGCCUGGCUGCUGUCCUGCUCUGCACAGCACUGGCAGCUCCGGCUGGAGGUCAAAGCAUCUCCAGGCCCCCGUCCCAUCCCCUCCUGCAGUGGGCAAGGAAAGUUUCGGUGCGGUGGUGUUUUUCCCGAGAUCCCAUUAAACUUUCAUGUGCUUUCUCUGCAUUUCUGCUCCCCUCCCGGCUGCCACAGCAGCUGUCUCAGAUACUUGCCUCGUGUUGGUCAUGGUCCCCUCUUCACCUGAUGAUGUCAUACCCAGGUGCUGACAUCCCCACCCCUGCCUGGGAUCUGUGACCUCACUGUGGCAGGCAGGGAGGCAGCAGCCGGCGGCAGAGGCAAGAUCUGGGUCAGCAGCAGCGAGGGUGCUGGGAAGGUGCAGAGCGGAGGUUUUCAGUACAAUCUCCGGCUUCUUUGGGAGUUCAAAGCAGGUGCGGGGGGGGGACUCCAGUAACCCCCCCGCGAGCUGCUGGAGGAGGAAGGAGCAGGGGAAGAUGGAGAGGAAUUCUAACUGGGUGCAGAGGAGGCUCAGCCAGGUGUCCCUGGGGAGCUGGGGCAUCCUCCCCAACAUCCCACCUGCACUCCUCCAGGGUCCCUGCACCCUGUCAGGGCUGCUCCUUAACAGCCAUAUCAGGUUCCAAUACACCUGCAGUUAGUUUAAACCACAUCUGUCUUUUAGAGAUGGAGCAAGAAACCAGGAAUCUAUAGGCGGCUGCGUGGCUGUCUCCAGAGAUGGGGGAGCAUGCGGGGAUUCGGGGCAGCACGUGACGCGGGGACGGUGUGAGCUGAGCCAGCUGGGCCAGGAGCUGUGACACGGCCAGGGCUGGCGAUGCUGGUGGUGGGAGGAAGCGCUGUGGUUUACGCUGUUGCUGUUGCUGGGUGCUCUAUGCCAGCUGGUCCCGCAGUUGGGGGACCCCUGCCUGGGAACGCUCAGCGUGCGCAGCCCCCAUGGCUCCCCGCUCUUCCCGUGCUCCUCGGCACCCAUCACGCUCUGGGAGAGGCAUCCCCGUCCCAGUGCAGUCCCAGUAAAUUCUGAUGCUGGUCCUGCGCAGAGGGGCCAGGAGGGCCCAAGGAGAGCUCGGGCAGAAGAAGCAGUGGUACAGUGAUGGCGUGUAGGCAGCCAGGGUGGUGGGCAAGGACCUCUCUGCAGCAGGGCAGACCCUGCUGGCCACGCAGUGCUCUCGCCCAUCACCUCUGUCGGUCCCUUUUCGCUGUUCUGGUCUGUGCCUGGCGCUGGGGCACUGCCUGCGGCUGAGCCAACGGGUGUGCGGGGCUUUCCCCUCGCUUCACGGCAGCUCAGAUCCGUCAGUGCCUUCAUCUAAUUGCUUUAUGUCUAUGACUAACUACUAAUGAGCUUUUAAUUAAUGAAUGCCGCGGCUUGGGGGCAUUCUGGAGCGGGUAGGAGGAGAGGACUAGGCGGGUGCCCCGCUCCCGGGGUGCUGUGGAGCUGCUGGCACUGCACUCGCAGGCUGACCCCGUGGAGGCUGGGAGCAGCCGACCUCGCUGGUCCUCGCAGCGGCAGCUGUGCUUCAGCCUGGCCUGCAUCCCCUCCUGGCAGCUCUCCCGAGUGGCAGCGUACGGGCUUGCGCCCCGGCUUUGCACUGCGAGCGCGUGCUGGGGGGUGCCACGGGGGUCCCAUAAAACACUGGACACUUGCAGCCCCUGAGGCAUCCAGCCCACCCGUGGUUGUGCAUUGCGUCCCCACAGCAGGUCCAUGGGCCACCGCAUCAUCCCUCUCUGCCAUGGGAGAGGGUGUGGGAUGGCAUCCCAGUGAGGACUGCAGUGGUGGGGGCUGCGAUUUCCCGUUGCAUCCCUUGUAGGGGGUGGGUCGGGGGUCUGGACGUGGCGUUGGGGGCAGCCCUUGGCAGGCAGCAGGUCUGACGUGUGUUCAGGGGCUUGGUGCAACGUGCACCUGGAUGCGCGGGACGUGCCACAGUCAUGCCGUGUCUCUGGUCUGCACAGCAGCGCCUGCUCAGGCAGGCUCGGGGGCAGAGCCCUGGCCAGGGCUCCAGGCAGACCUCGGAGCCCUCAUUUCUGUCAGAUAAAGUUUCCAAAUGGCUGAGGCGAGCGUGCCUCGGAGGGGAGCUGAGCACCCGGCGGUUCUGGCAUCUCCCUGGGAGUGGGAGCCGGCAGUGCCACACCGGCCACAGCGGGUCUCUGCCGCUGGGCCAGCUCCUGACCACGCGUGGCCAGUACAUCCCGGCUGCCUGGGAGCAGCCCAAAGCAUCACGCUUUCCCUGGCGGGUUCCCUCGGCGAUUCGGGGGGCACACGCCCGUCAGCCCUCCCAGCACUGGCUCUGCCCCUCAGCUCUGGUGCCUCACUGAGCUCCGGACCAGCGGCUGAGGCCGCUCCUGUCCCGGCGCCAUGUUGUUCUCCCUCUUCCAGAAAACAAAACCAAGGAGCCCUCAAGGGUUCAUUUAAAAUAAAUAAAAAAUGAAAAUAGUGCUGAUUUGAAGGAAAGCCAGCCCCAUCCUGUGCAUGGGAGCGCAUCGCCAACCCAUCCCCGAAGGGCAGAGAGAAAGAUGUGCUUAGAACUGCAGCCCUGUGCAACUUCUGCCUUUGAUCAUAUAUCUUACAUGUGCCCUUUGCUUUCCCUCGUCUGAUAUUUAUUAGGUUUAAUUUUACUGGGACGCGGCUGUAAGUGAGACAGAUGGAACGGGGUCUGUGCGCCUGGUGAACACAUCUUAAUUAAACAGAUAAAUAAACUUUCAUUCCAGGAGACUUCAGUUUUGGAGGGGUUCCUCUGGGGCUGCGGCUCCGCGGGGCUGGGCAGUCCUGGCUGGGGCUCCUCGGCCCCAGGCACCAUGGGGCUGCCCCGGCACAGCCCUGGUGCCACUGCCAGUGCCAUCGGCCGGGGCUGCAGCGUGCCGUCACCGCCAGGGCAGCUGGGAGCGGCAGGGCGAGGGAAAUCGGCUGGUGGUGGCCAGGGACGUGUUCCCUACUCUGGAGCCGGCCGGUGGGUUGGUAUAGCCCUGCUGUGCCGGUGUCCCACAGGGGCUCCCCGCUGCCGUGGGGGCACCUCUGCAGGCAGGCAGAUAGAUGUUGGUGAUGGCUGGAGGAGGGAGAGGGGAGACUUGAACGCUCCUCAGCUCCCAGAGCCAUGCCCGGUUCCCCCACUGCUGGGGUAUUUAUCCUGGGGAAACAUGGCUAGUUCCUGCCGCUGCCGGUGGUGCAGAGGGUCUGCACCAGCAGUGUCGGGGCUGGGGUAUCUGCCCGACGUGUUGCUCUGUGCAUUCUCCCUGCAGGAGAGCAGCGUCUCUCCUUGCCGUGCGGCUGGAGCCAGCCCGGACCUUUCCGCGACGCGGGCUGCUGGCUCGGGGCAGUGCCAGGGCUCAUGGCGCUGCCACUGGCCAGGAGCGCCUUUGAGUCACCCUGCCCGGAGCCAGGCUCCGGCGCGGGGGAGGACGGGCAGAUUACCUCAUCCUGGAGCCGGCUCCCGCCUCACGUGGUUUGCUUGGUUGGGCACUGCAAGCCCAGAGCGUCAGGCCGUGCCCUUCCCUUUUCACCUCUGCCUGAGAGCAGUGCCGGAGCUGCGGUGGAGCCAGACCGGACCAGGGCCUUUGGAGUUGUCCAUCACCUUGCCCAGGGCAUCCCUCACCCUGCGCCAGGGUGCUGUGCGGUGCUCAGGUGCAUGUGGGUGCCUGGUGGGGACCCUCUCCCCACAGCUGCACAAGGGGCCGUGGGAGGACGUGCUUGUCCCCCAGCCCUUGCAAAGCUGCCCCGCGUCCUGUCCCGGGCACCAGAGCGUGCAGGAAAGUAUGGCAACCGGGGCCAUAGGAGUCCCUGGGGAAGGGGAGCUGGGGCAAGCAAGGAGCAUGGGUCUGAGCACCGAGGUGUGCAGGAUGGGCUGCUGCAUCGGGAUCCGUCGUGGUCCCUUGGGAGCUGGAGGGUGAGCGGUUGUGGGGGGACACGGGAGCUCGCUGCAGCCCAUGCUCCUCGCAGGGAGCAACGGCUGGAGGAUGCUGUUAGUAGUGAUGUUGCUGCCAGACUCCUUUCGGCUCUCAGUACCGCGGGGCGGUGGUGAUGAGAAACCCUCCCCCUGGCCCGGCAUCCCCUCCCUGAUUUGGCACCUUGCGGUCCCUUUGGAGCCUGGUCACCCCAGCAGCAGGACCCCACGGGGGGGCUGACACCCCCUUGGCCCUAGGCGCCGCUCCUUCAGGACGGCUUUUCCCAGAGCUGUUUGUUUCCACCAGGUUUGCCCGGUGGCUCUGGGCCGGCCGUGCCACACACCGCUGCUGUUGAGUAUCUGCAGCAGAAACGGGAACCGCUGCGAGUGUACCAGGACACUGCAGCAUGUCGCUAUGUCUGGGGAUACUGUGGAAAAUCCCAGCCUCCGAAUAGGGCUGGUCGUGUGCUGGAGGCUCCGGCGGAGACGGAGCAUCAGCAGCUGCUGGCACAGACCUGCCUUUGUGCAUCACAUUUGGCCAAGAUGGAAACUGAACUGAGCCCAGGUUUUGUUUCCCACAUACCCAAGCACUACGCCGUCCCGGCUGCUUCGUUGCUGGCCGCGGCUCUGAAGUCGGGUGCGACGCAGUGCCGGCAGUGUGGGGCGCCGAGGCAGGGACCCCCGUGCCAGCGCCGAACUUUGCAGCACCAGAGAGUACCAGGGCUGCCGCAGGGCCACAACGGGAGGAGGCGCGAGGUGGGACCGGGGACCCGAACGAGCACACGUGCGUGCCCACGCCGGCUAUCCCUCGCGGGCACCGGCACGUAGGCUAUUGCCAUGGCAGCUGCGAUAGAGGUGUGCAUGGUGUUGAUGCGUCAGGGCUGCCGGCAGCACCGGCAGGCCAGUCCAAAAUGCCAAAAAGCCUCUUGAGCUCUGCCGGGGCCGGCCCCCUGCCCGCCGCCGGCGGGAGAUGCUCAGGGCAGGAGGUCCCCAUCACUCUGGGGAGCACAGGGAAGCCGGCGCCCGCGGGCAGGGUCCCUCCGUGUCACCCCGGGGUGCCGGGCUCCCCCUUGCCAUCGGGGGCUGGCAGGCAGGCGGGGGGGGGCUGGCAGGCUGCCGGGAGCUCACACGCCUUCACGCUUGGUGGGGCCGAGCUGCCUGUGCCCGGGGUGUGCAGGCAGCAUCGAGGCUGCGGCCACGGCUCCUCUGGCAGGGAAGGCCGGCGGGCUGCCGGGGCCCUGCCCGCCGUGGCACGAGCCCAUGGCGGCGCAGCGCGGCGCGUGGCUGCCGGGGCCGCGCGUGCUGCGGGGCUGCAGGCGUGAGCAGGUAUGUGCCUCUCCGGGGAGGCGGAGCUGGGUCUGCUGCAUGGCUCCCUGCCCGUCCCUGCCAGCGCGGCCAUCCCUGUCUGCGUGUGUGUCUCCCAAGGAGAGCGUGGUGCGUGUGCACGUGUCCGGCUGUGUGUGCGUGGGGGAGUCCCGCGGCCGCCCGGCGUGGCGGCGAGGCGCUGCCAUCGUGGGGGCUGCCGCAGCUGGAAGUGCCGGCCGCUCGGCACGGUUUCCCGGGGCGCCCGUGUUGCAUCACCGAAACUCCCGGCAUGCUUCCUCACUCUCUCCCCUGUCCUCCA